CCUACGGGUGGCAGCAGUGGGGAAUAUUGCACAAUGGGGGAAACCCUGAUGCAGCGACGCCGCGUGAGUGAAGAAGUAAUUCGUUACGUAAAGCUCUAUCAGCAGGGAAGAAAAUGACGUUACCUGAGUAAGAAGCCCCGGCUCACUACGUGCCAGCAGCCGCGGUAAUACGUAGGGGGCAAGCGUUAUCCGGAUUUACUGGGUUGAAAGGGAGCGUAGACGGCGGCGCAAGUCUGGAGGGAAAUGCCGGGGCCCAACCCCGGAACUGCUCUGGAAACUGAGAAGCUGGAGUGCAGGAGAGGUAAGCGGAAUGCCUGGUGUAGCGGUGAAAUGCGUAGAUAUCAGGAGGAACACCGGCGGCGAAGGCGGCUUACUGGACUGUAACUGACGGUGAGGCUCGAAGGCGUGGGGAGCAAACAGGAUUAGAUACCCGAGUAGUC
RNAcentral lists this ribosomal RNA (440 nucleotides) under uncultured bacterium. RNAcentral's name for it is "partial 16S ribosomal RNA". It matches the Rfam family "Bacterial small subunit ribosomal RNA", at positions 338 to 795 of the family's 1533-position model. The record is from RNAcentral.